CUCUGCAUAUCAUGUGACGUGAAGAAUUUAAACUACAUCAAUUUGAAAAUUCUUUAUCCAAACAUGAGAAUAUGAGAAGAAAUUUGUUGGUGGAUAAAAGAAAAGAUAAAGUUUGCUUGCAGUUUGCAUUUUGAAUAUAUAAAACCAUAACAAGGAGAGAAGAAACAGAGCUUGGUUAAAAUUCAUAUGGCCAUUAACGAAACAGAGAUUAGCAUGAAGCCCGAUGAAAAUGAAUACCGUUCUCUUCUGUACAUGGCGAACUUGACACUCCCCUUGGUAGUUUCAGGUUGUGGUGAUAACAGCAAAUAUGGAAUGUAAUGGUUGUAGGGGCAGAGUUUCCAGAGUUGUCUCAAAAAUGACUGGGUUGACAGAAUACACAAUAGAUGUGUCCAAGAAAGAAGUAACUCUUAAGGGAGAUUUCAUAGCACAUUGCAACUUCAAGGAUGAAAACCUUAGAAGCAUCACCCUGAAGAGCGCUACCAUUCGACUAAAGUCCAUGUUUUCAUGUUUAAAUAAUUUUGAUUAGCACUAGUGUAACAGAAAGUUAAUGUAUCUACAAAGAUUGAAAUACAAAGAUCGCUUUAUUCUUUCCCUCUUUUA
RNA transcript from Lotus japonicus, 600 nucleotides. RefSeq lists it as uncharacterized. The transcript is spliced from 3 exons. The record is from RefSeq and is a predicted model, not a curated record. NCBI's taxonomy places the organism in Eukaryota, Viridiplantae, Streptophyta, Magnoliopsida, Fabales, Fabaceae.